CAGCAUUCCUCGUGUUCACCUCCGCGAGGGCGUCAUUUGCUCUGCGCUCAUUCAGUAGGAUAGUGCUCCUAUCCGUCCAAUCAAGUGGUUGCAAGUAUAUAGGUGGGCUGAUCAUGUGCAACUCCACUGCCCAAAUACCCUGCAUGAGAUUCUGAAUGGUGUAGUCGAAUCUUCGCUCCCAAACUUGGUUAAAGAAGUUCUCUCUAUCUCUCACAUUAUGCUCGGUCGGUAUUCCUAGCGCAGAACC
This 247-nucleotide long non-coding RNA is filed under the name Amborella trichopoda. Its description in RNAcentral is "long non-coding RNA (ATRI_LNC000966)". Lineage: Eukaryota; Viridiplantae; Streptophyta; Magnoliopsida; Amborellales; Amborellaceae. The record is from RNAcentral.